GUCGAAUAUAGUAGAUAGUUUAUUCAUGAGGCUUUUUAAGUUUUAUUGUAGAAUAAAUGUAGAUCUAUUUAAAAUCAUGAUCUUUCAAGGGAUGAUCCCAUUAAAAGAUUACAAAAUGAAAUAAGUCACGGUUUUUAUUUUCAUAAGAUAGAUGAAAAUUUGUGUUUCAAGUUAGAAAACCAUGCAUGAUUCUAAUUUUUCCACUGAUAUUUCAGUUAUGUUUGGCCAUUAUAAAUGCUUAAUUAACUUUAAAGAUUAACAAAAUAUUUUGUUUAAUACAUUCCAGAAUUUUAUUGAAUUUCGAAUAAGAAUAUCUUGUUAUAAAAUAAAAGAAAACUUUUUCAUUCAAACAAGGUCCGAAAGAUGAUGAACUUUUUAUGCUUUUUUAUAACCAAGAGAAAUGAUGGACUUUUUUGUGCACCAAAGAUGAUGAACAAUAGUCAAUCACUGUUUUGUUUGUCCCAAUAUAUCACUUAUUUAGCUCAAAAAAUCAAUAAUUAGAUGCAAAGAUUUUUACGACUUUUCUACUAUUUUGGUCAAUUAGCGCAAAUAUUUAUGUUGAUUUACUAC
This 570-nucleotide long non-coding RNA is filed under the name Brassica napus (rape). RNAcentral describes it as "long non-coding RNA (BNAP_LNC026891)". Lineage: Eukaryota; Viridiplantae; Streptophyta; Magnoliopsida; Brassicales; Brassicaceae. The record is from RNAcentral.